Long non-coding RNA from Homo sapiens (human), 2294 nucleotides. The record is from Ensembl. NCBI's taxonomy places the organism in Eukaryota, Metazoa, Chordata, Mammalia, Primates, Hominidae.
AGCGGGCGGCGCCGACGUCACAAGCUUCCAAGAUGGCGCUGGGCGGGCGGCUGUGAGCGGCGCUCGGGGCGCGCUAGGCGGGGAGCCGAGCCGGGCUGGCGGCAGGCGGACGGGGCGGGCGCGUGCGGCGCGAGCCGGGCGCUGAGGACAAGGGCCGCUGGUAGGGCCGGCCGGCCGGCGGGCGGAGCGCCGCCGCCGACGCACACGAGGUGACCAGGCAUUGAUGCACCCCCAGGAAGGCCACGCGCUCAGGAGGCCCCCCCGCCCCGCUGGCUGCUGCUCACAUGGUGUCUGGGCCCUUGGCACUCUGUUCAUGCGGGAGAUGGCAGGGGCUGGCACAUGACAGUGGAGCAGAAAUUUGGCCUGUUUUCUGCUGAGAUAAAGGAAGCAGACCCCCUGGCUGCCUCGGAAGCAAGUCAACCCAAACCCUGUCCCCCCGAAGUGACCCCCCACUACAUCUGGAUCGACUUCCUGGUGCAGCGGUUUGAGAUCGCCAAGUACUGCAGCUCUGACCAAGUGGAGAUCUUCUCCAGCCUGCUGCAGCGCUCCAUGUCCCUGAACAUCGGCAGGGCCAAGGGGAGCAUGAACCGGCACGUGGCGGCCAUCGGGCCCCGCUUCAAGCUGCUGACCCUGGGGCUGUCCCUCCUGCAUGCCGAUGUGGUUCCAAAUGCAACCAUCCGCAAUGUGCUUCGCGAGAAGAUCUACUCCACUGCCUUUGACUACUUCAGUCCCUGACUCCAGACACUCAGCCGUUGUCCUCUUAUGGUUGUUUGAAGCUGUCCCCCAAAGUUUCCUACUCAAGGAGAGAAGCGGCUGCGUGAAGACAUAAGCAUCAUGAUUAAAUUUUGGACCGCCAUGUUCUCAGAUAAGAAGUACCUGACCGCCAGCCAGCUUGUUCCCCCAGCUGACAUCGGCGACCUCCUGGAGCAGUUAGUAGAGGAGAACACAGGCUCCUUGUCGGGCCCAGCGAAGGACUUUUACCAGCGGGGGUUUGAUUUCUUUAACAAGAUCACCAACGUGUCGGCUGUCAUCAAGCCCUACCCUAAAGGCGACGAGAGAAAGAAGGCUUGUCUGUCGGCCCUGUCUGAAGUGACGGUGCAGCCAGGCUGCUCCCUGCCCAGCAACCCCGAAGCCAUUGUGCUGGACGUCGACUACAAGUCUGGGACCCCGAUGCAGAGUGCUGCAAAAGCCCCAUAUCUGGCCAAGUUCAAGGUGAAGCGAUGUGGAGUUAGUGAACUUGAAAAAGAAGGUCUGCGGUGCCGCUCAGACUCUGAGGAUGAGUGCAGCACGCAGGAGGCCGACGGCCAGAAGAUCUCCUGGCAGGCAGCCAUCUUCAAACUGGGAGACGACUGCCGGCAGGACAUGCUGGCCCUGCAGAUCAUCGACCUCUUCAAGAACAUCUUCCAGCUGGUCGGCCUGGACCUCUUUGUUUUUCCCUACCGCGUGGUGGCCACUGCCCCUGGGUGCGGGGUGAUCGAGUGCAUCCCCGACUGCACCUCCCGGGACCAGCUGGGCCGCCAGACAGACUUCGGCAUGUACGACUACUUCACACGCCAGUACGGGGAUGAGUCCACUCUGGCCUUCCAGCAGACUUUGGCUUCAUGUUUGAAAGCUCGCCGGGCGGCAAUCUCGGCUGGGAACCCGACAUCAAGCUGACGGAUGAGAUGGUGAUGAUCAUGGGGGGCAAGAUGGAGGCCACACCCUUCAAGUGGUUCAUGGAGAUGUGUGUCCAGGCUACCUGGCUGUGCGGCCCUACAUGGAUGUGGUCGUCUCCCUGGUCACUAUCAUGUUGGACACGGGCCUGCCCUGUUUUCGCGGCCAGACAAUCAAGCUCUUGAAGCACAGGUUUAGCCCCAACAUGACUGAGCGCGAGGCUGCAAAUUUCAUCAUGAAGGUCAUCCAGAGCUGCUUCCUCAGCAACAGGAGCCGGACCUACAACAUGAUCCAGUACUAUCAGAAUGACAUCCCCUACUGAGGAGGGGACCUUCGAGGGCCUCUGCCCCAUGUGCCCUUGAAGCUGCCCCACAAUCAUGGAGCCCUGCGACCUACCCGCCCUGCCGCCACAUGCAGUGGAGGAGAGGCCUGUGGCCCGAAGAGCCUGGUAGCGCCUCCUGGGGCAGCACGUGGGUGGCGCAGGCUUAGUAACGCCGUGGACUGCAGCGACAAUCAGUGGAUGGUGCUGUCUAUGCACAGGUGUGAGUCCUCUGUUUGCACUGGACAUAUUCCCUACCUGUUUUAUUUCAUAGGUACAUGAAGUAUUGUGUAUAAAAAAAGAGAUAAGAUUUAACCAACAU